RNAcentral lists this transfer RNA (75 nucleotides) under uncultured Bacteroidota bacterium. Its description in RNAcentral is "uncultured Bacteroidetes bacterium tRNA-Thr". It matches the Rfam family "tRNA". Rfam says of the family: Transfer RNA (tRNA) molecules are approximately 80 nucleotides in length. Their secondary structure includes four short double-helical elements and three loops (D, anti-codon, and T loops). Further hydrogen bonds mediate the characteristic L-shaped molecular structure. tRNAs have two regions of fundamental functional importance: the anti-codon, which is responsible for specific mRNA codon recognition, and the 3' end, to which the tRNAs corresponding amino acid is attached (by aminoacyl-tRNA synthetases). tRNAs cope with the degeneracy of the genetic code in two manners: having more than one tRNA (with a specific anti-codon) for a particular amino acid; and 'wobble' base-pairing, i.e. permitting non-standard base-pairing at the 3rd anti-codon position. Lineage: Bacteria; Pseudomonadati; Bacteroidota. The record is from RNAcentral.
GCCCCCUUAGCUCAGCGGUAGAGCAACUGAUUUGUAAUCAGUAGGUCGGCGGUUCGAAUCCGUCAGGGGGCUCUA